Magnolia sinica is the source of this 2985-nucleotide long non-coding RNA. RefSeq lists it as uncharacterized. The record is from RefSeq and is a predicted model, not a curated record. Lineage: Eukaryota; Viridiplantae; Streptophyta; Magnoliopsida; Magnoliales; Magnoliaceae. The transcript is spliced from 2 exons.
UCUUAGGUGGGACCCACGAAAUAUGCGGUCCACAUUAAACUUCAACCCCUAAUGAUGAAUGGCUCACAUCCAAAAUGAUGAAUGACUCACAUCCAAGGUAAGCCCCACAUGAUAGACAACCCACAUUAUAGGUAGGAGCCACAUGACGGAUGGUCCACAUCAAAGGUGGGUUUCAUAAGAUGGGCAACGAACAUUGAGGGUGGGCUCCAUAUGAUGGAUGACCCACAUCAAGGUGGGCCUCCCAUAAUGGACGGUCCACAUUAAAGGUUGGCCCCACUAAUGAUAAAUGACCCACAUCCAAGGUGGGCUACACAUGAUGGAUGACCCACUUCAAAGGUAGGGUCCACACGAUUGAUGGUUCACCCCAAAGGUGAGCUCCACAUGAUGGGUAGUGGACAUUGAAAGUGGGCCCCACAUGAUGGAUAAUUAACAUUGAUGGUGGGCCCACAUGAUGAAUGACCUACAUUAAGGUGGGCCCAAUGUAACGGACGUUCCCCAUCAAAGGUUGGCCCUUAACGUGAAUGGCCCACAUACAAGGCGAGCCUUGAAUGAUGGACAACCCACAUUAAAAAUAAGACUCACACAAUUGACGGUCCACAUCAAAGGUGGGCUCCACAAGAUGGGUGGUGGACAAUGAAGGUAGGCCCCACAUGAUGGAUGACCCACAUUAAGGUGGGCUUCACAUAAUGGAUGGUCCAUAUCAACGGUUAGCCCCUAAUGAUAAAUGAUCAACAUCGAAGACGGGUCCCGUAUGAUGGACUACCCACUUUGAAGGUGGGCCCCACAUGAUGGGCAAUCACGUUGAUGGUGGACCCCACAUGAUGGAUGACCCACAUUUAGGUGGGCAUCAUGUAAUAGACAAUCCACAUCAAAGAUUGGCCCCUAAUGAUGAAUGAGCCACAUCCAAGGUAGGCCCUACAUAAUAGAUGAUCCACAUUAAAGGUGGGCUUCACAUGAUGGGCAGUCAAUAUUAAAGGUGGGCCCCAUGUGAUAGAUGACCCAUAUCAAGUUAGGCCUCACAUGAGGACAGUUCACAUCGUAGGUUGGCCCCAACUAAUGAAAGACCCACAUCCAAGGCGAGUCAUCCAUGUAAAGGUGGGCUCAACAUGAUGGGUGGUGGAUAUUGAAGUUGGGCCUCAUAUGAUGGAAAAUAACAUUAAUGGUGGGCCCCACAUGAUAGAUGAUCCACAUCAAGGUAAGCUCCACACGAGGGCGUAGAAGGUCGGCCUCUAAUGAUAUAAUGAUUCACAUCCAAGAUGGGCUUAGCAUAAUGGGCGGCUCACUUCAAAGUUGGGCCCUACACGAUGAAUGAUCCAUAUCCAAGGUGGGCCCCACAUGAUGGAUAAAACACAUCGAAGGUGGACUUCACAAGGUGAAUGGUCCACAUUGAAGGUAGGCCCCAUAUAUAUGAUGAAUGAUUCACAUUGAAGACAGGGCCAAGGUGGGCCCAACAUAUAUAAAUGGUACACAUCAAAGAUUGGCACCACAUGAUGGGCAACGGAUAUUAAGUGUGUACCAAGCAAACUAUUUAUGUGAUGUGGGUAAGGCUAAUAAUUACAUUAUUUAUCAAACAUACUUAACUGCUAAAUAAGUAGAAACCAAAAUAAAUUACUUUUAAGAUAUAAAAAGCUUAAUGCAAAGUAAUAUACAAUCCAAAUAAGCCGAAGUCAUGAACCCAAAAUCAAAUAUUGUAAAUAAUUUUAACCUCUUAUUCUUAGGCACUUGUUUGCUGGAACAAGACCAUCAAAAUUUCCUGUUUUUGUUUUAACCAUCUAAUUAAUGUCCAGUCAUCCAUCAACCCUGUAAUCAGAUAAUCAAAUAAUCUUAGUUUUUGGUUAAUAAUACAUCCCAGCACUGACAGUUUAAUUUGAAAGACUUGUAUGGCAAUGUAUGCAAUUUCUAAGUAGUUUCUAAGUGCCUACCUCUCAUCAACCACCACAGGAGCAUUAACUGCCUUGUCUUGACUAAAGGUGUGGCUUUGAGCGAGACAACACAUAUCCCACCAAUUUCUAAGAAAUUUCUUAGUAAUUUGUUUUCUCCACACGUGAUUGAAGAUUUACUUGCUCCACACACCAUUUGUACAUGAGGCUGGGUUUGUACAAGUGGACCCAUGUUCCAAUGAUCCAAACCUUUUGUCCAUUCACCAAAAAUCUCCCAGAUUAGAAAGUCUAAAAAUUUCAAUUAGUGUCUACUGAAUCAGUUAUAGAAAAAAAAGAAAAAAAAGAACAUCAAUGGUCCACACUCAACCAAAAAGCACACAGAAUAUUCGAUGGCUAAAAUUUUCCAAUCUAGGGGAUACAUAGUGAAGGGUCCAUCUGAUAUACAGUUUGGAUCAUUGAACCAUAGGUCCCACUUGUACAAACUUAGAACCCAGGUGCAUGGUACAAACCUUGACCUUGGAUCAUUCUAUAAUAAUACCUCUUGAGAGCUUACUCCUUUUUAUUAAUUAAGUGUUCUUUCAGCGAGAAAGAAGAGUCCCAAAGAAGAAAAGGUGGAGAAUUUGUUGUAUGUUUUCUUUAUGAGUUUUUAGAAUAUCAUUUCCAUUUUUAGUGAUUUCCUUAAACAUUUUUUUUUGCUUUGUAUGUUACAUGGCAGUUGAAGCUUUGAGACAUCCUGGCCGUUGAAAUGAUGCAGAGGAUCAGAAAGUGGACAUGCUAUUGGAUGACCAGGACCAGGAAAUACCGUCAUGCCUGGCUUGUUAGCACCUUCAUCACAGGUGUGGUUAUCAGUAGCAGCCUAGCUGAGUAUGCAAUUGUAGGGAGCUUGAUGACGUUCAUUACUGACGAGCUUCAGAUCAAUAGCUUGGUAAUUGCAGCAGCAAUCAUAAACAUGAAAGAGGGAUUCACAUCUUUCAUGGCCAUCAUCGGAUCCUUCAUCGCAGAUGCUUAUCUCAGCCGUUACUUUGUGGUCCUUAUGUCCGUGGCCCUUUAUUUCUACGUAAGUUCGCUUCUCCUAUAAACCAUCUCAUAAAUGAUUUUAACUGUG